RNAcentral lists this ribosomal RNA (239 nucleotides) under Ochromonas sp. CCMP1393. Its description in RNAcentral is "partial Bacterial small subunit ribosomal RNA". It matches the Rfam family "Bacterial small subunit ribosomal RNA", at positions 827 to 1064 of the family's 1533-position model. Lineage: Eukaryota; Chrysophyceae; Chromulinales; Chromulinaceae. The record is from RNAcentral.
GGGGGCUUGCCCUUUGGUGUCACACCUAACGGAUUAAGCAUUCCGCCUGGGGAGUACGAUCGCAAGAUUAAAACUCAAAGGAAUUGACGGGGGCCCGCACAAGCAGCGGAGCAUGUGGUUUAAUUCGAUGCAACGCGAAGAACCUUACCUGGGUUUGACAUGGAUCGGGAGUGCUCAGAGAUGGGUGUGCCUCUUUUGGGGUCGGUUCACAGGUGGUGCAUGGCUGUCGUCAGCUCGUG